This 264-nucleotide unclassified non-coding RNA is filed under the name uncultured fungus. Its description in RNAcentral is "partial contains small subunit ribosomal RNA, internal transcribed spacer 1, and 5.8S ribosomal RNA". The stretch from base 1 to 73 matches the Rfam family "Eukaryotic small subunit ribosomal RNA", at positions 1759 to 1831 of the family's 1831-position model. The record is from RNAcentral. Lineage: Eukaryota; Fungi.
GCAAACUUGGUCAUUUAGAGGAAGUAAAAGUCGUAACAAGGUCUCCGUAGGUGAACCUGCGGAGGGAUCAUUACCGAGUGUGGGCCUCCAGGCCCAACCUCCCAACCCUUUGCCGAUACUAUCUGUUGCCUCGGGGGGCGUCUUUGACUAGCCGUCCCUCAGAGGGCCAACCCACACUGCGUCCUUGCGUCGGAGUAUUGAAAACAAUCAAUCAAAACUUUCAACAACGGAUCUCUUGGUUCUGGCAUCGAUGAAGAACGCAGC